AGCAGCCGCGGUAAUUCCAGCUCCAAUAGCGUAUAUUAAAGUUGUUGCAGUUAAAAAGCUCGUAGUUGAAUUUCGGGACCAUCAUGUUGGUCGUGCCUCGGUACGUACUGGCAUUGUUGGUUUCUCCCUUCUGACGAACCAUGAUGUCAUUUAUUUGGUGUCGUGGGAAAUCAGGACUGUUACUUUGAAAAAAUUAGAGUGUUUAAAGCAGGCUCACGCUUGAAUACAUUAGCAUGGAAUAAUGAAAUAGGACGUUUGAUUCUAUUUUGUUGGUUUCUAGGAUCGACGUAAUGAUUAAUAGGGAUAGUUGGGGGCAUUAGUAUUCAAUUGUCAGAGGUGAAAUUCUUGGAUUUAUUGAAGACUAACUACUGCGAAAGCAUUUGCCAAGGAUGUUUUCAUUAAUCAAGAACGAAAGUUAGGGGAUCGAAGACGAUCAGAUACCGUCGUAGUCUUAACCAUAAACUAUGCCGACUAGGGAUCGGAUGAUGUUAAUUUUUAAUGACUCAUUCGGCGCCUUAAC
Molecule: ribosomal RNA, 520 nt
Filed under: uncultured Glomus
Lineage: Eukaryota; Fungi; Glomeromycota; Glomeromycetes; Glomerales; Glomeraceae
Description: SSU rRNA
Rfam family: Eukaryotic small subunit ribosomal RNA
Source: RNAcentral